UCUGGUGAUGAUGCGCUUUGGGGAAACACCCGUUCCCAUCUCGAACACGACGGUUAAGACUAAAGCGGCCGAAAGUACUAUACUGGUGACGGUAUGGGAGGAUAGGUGGUUGCCAGAU
Molecule: ribosomal RNA, 118 nt
Filed under: Butyrivibrio fibrisolvens
Lineage: Bacteria; Bacillati; Bacillota; Clostridia; Lachnospirales; Lachnospiraceae
Source: RNAcentral